Molecule: ribosomal RNA, 1325 nt
Filed under: metagenome
Description: bacterial LSU rRNA
Rfam family: Bacterial large subunit ribosomal RNA
Source: RNAcentral
AGUGGAUGGGGAGCAACCUAGUUGUGCGUGUGUAAAGGUAGUGCCAAGAAAAGCGAUGAUCAUGUUGAAAAUCAAUUCCCGGUACCCGAAACCGACACAGGUGGGCAAGUAGAGAAUACUAAGGGGCGCGAGGUAACUCUCUCCAAGGAACUCGGCAAAAUGACCCCGUAACUUAGGGAGAAGGGGUGCCACCGAGAGGUGGUCGCAGUGAAGAGGCCCAGGCGACUGUUUAGCAAAAACAUAGGUCUCUGCAAACUCGAAAGAGGAGGUAUAGGGGCUGACGCCUGCCCAGUGCCGGAAGGUUAAAGAAGUUGGUCAGUUUUAGGAUGAAGCUAGCGACUGAAGCCCCGGUGAACGGCGGCCGUAACUAUAACGGUCCUAAGGUAGCGAAAUUCCUUGUCGGGUAAGUUCCGACCCGCACGAAAGGCGUAACGAUCUGGGCGCUGUCUCGGAGAGAGGCUCGGCGAAACAGGAUUGUCUGUGAAGAUACGGACUACCUGCAUUUGGACAGAAAGACCCUAUGAAGCUUUACUAUAGCUUGGAAUUGUGUUCGGGCUUCCUGUGCGCAGGUUAGGUGGGAGGCGUAGAAGGUAUUCUUGUGGGGAUACUGGAGCCAACGGUGAGAUACCACUCUCAGGAGGCUAGAAUUCUAACUUAAUUAAGGACAGUUUCAGGUGGGUAGUUUGACUGGGGCGGUCGCCUCCAAAAAGGUAACGGAGGCGUACAAAGGUUCCCUCAGACUGGUUGGAAAUCAGUCGAAGAGUGCAAAGGCAGAAGGGAGCUUGACUGCGAGAAGUACAGUUCGAGCAGGGUGGAAACACGGUCUUAGUGAUCCGACGGUGCUGUGUGGAAGGGCCGUCGCUCAACGGAUAAAAGUUACUCUAGGAUAACAGGCUGAUCUCCCCCGAGAGUUCACAUCGACGGGGAGGUUUGGCACCUCGAUGUCGGCACAUCGCAACCUGGGGCGGAAGUACGUCCCAAGGGUUGGGCUGUUCGCCCAUUAAAGCGGUACGUGAGCUGGGUUCAGAACGUCGUGAGACAAUUCGGUCCAUAUCCGAUGUAGGCGUGAGAAUAUUGAGAGGAGCCUUCCUUAGUACGAGAGGACCGGGAAGGACGCACCGCUGGUGUACCUGUUAUGAUGCCAAUUGUAAACGCAGGGUAGCCAAGUGCGGAGAGGAUAACCGCUGAAAGCAUCUAAGUGGGAAGCCCACCUCAAGAUGAGUAUUCUGGUGUAAGGUCACGGGAAGACGACCCGUAAAUAGGCACGAGGUGGAAGUGCAGAGAUGUAUGAAGCCGAAGUGUACUAAUAGACCGUCGGCUUGACC